GAUGAACGCUGGCGGCGUGCCUAACACAUGCAAGUCGAGCGAUUUACUUCGGUAAAGAGCGGCGGACGGGUGAGUAACGCGUGGGUAACCUGCCCUGUACACACGGAUAACAUACCGAAAGGUAUGCUAAUACGAGAUAAUAUGCUUUUAUCGCAUGGUAGAAGUAUCAAAGCUUUUGCGGUACAGGAUGGACCCGCGUCUGAUUAGCUAGUUGGUGAGGUAACGGCUCACCAAGGCGACGAUCAGUAGCCGACCUGAGAGGGUGAUCGGCCACAUUGGAACUGGGACACGGUCCAAACUCCUACGGGAGGCAGCAGUGGGGAAUAUUGCACAAUGGGCGAAAGCCUGAUGCAGCAACGCCGCGUGAGCGAUGAAGGCCGUCGGGUCGUAAAGCUCUGUCCUCAAGGAAGAUAAUGACGGUACUUGAGGAGGAAGCCCCGGCUAACUACGUG
This 452-nucleotide ribosomal RNA is filed under the name uncultured bacterium. Its description in RNAcentral is "partial 16S ribosomal RNA". It matches the Rfam family "Bacterial small subunit ribosomal RNA", at positions 28 to 507 of the family's 1533-position model. The record is from RNAcentral.